RNAcentral lists this small RNA (1500 nucleotides) under uncultured bacterium. RNAcentral's name for it is "bacterial SSU rRNA". The stretch from base 1 to 844 matches the Rfam family "Bacterial small subunit ribosomal RNA", at positions 680 to 1533 of the family's 1533-position model. The record is from RNAcentral.
GGUGAAAUGCAUAGAUAUAACACAGAACCCCGAUUGCGAAGGCAGCUUACCGGGCUACAUCUGACGCUGAGGCACGAAAGCGUGGGGAUCAAACAGGAUUAGAUACCCUGGUAGUCCACGCAGUAAACGAUGAAUACUAGCUGUAUGCGAUAUAUUGUAUGUGGCAAAGCGAAAGCAUUAAGUAUUCCACCUGGGGAGUACGUUCGCAAGAAUGAAACUCAAAGGAAUUGACGGGGGCCCGCACAAGCGGAGGAACAUGUGGUUUAAUUCGAUGAUACGCGAGGAACCUUACCCGGGCUUGAAAUGCAUCUGACCGGUCUGGAAACAGACUUUCUAGCAAUAGCAGAUGUGUAGGUGCUGCAUGGUUGUCGUCAGCUCGUGCCGUGAGGUGUCGGCUUAAGUGCCAUAACGAGCGCAACCCUUAUCAUUAGUUGCCAUCGGGUUAUGCCGGGAACUCUAAUGAGACUGCCACCGUAAGGUGUGGGGAAGGUGGGGAUGACGUCAAAUCAGCACGGCCCUUACGUCCGGGGCGACACACGUGUUACAAUGGGGGGUACAGAGGGUUGCUACCGCGCGAGCGGAUGCUAAUCUCUUAAAGCCUCUCUCAGUUCGGAUCGGAGUCUGCAACUCGACUCCSKGRARCUGGAUUCGCUAGUAAUCGCSCMUCAGCCAUGGNCSCGGUGAAUACGUUCCCGGGCCUUGUACACMCCGCCCGUCAAGCCAUGGAAGCCSGGGGGACCUGAAGUACGUAACCGCACAAGGAGCKYCCUAGGRUAAACCGKUAACUGGGGNUAAGUCGUAACAAGGUAGCCGUACCGGAAGGUGCGGCUGGAACACCUCCUUUCUGGAGUGAUGGUUUUCCAAAUAAACAAGCCUGUAAGUUAUGCACAGUUUUUUUUCAGCGACACUCAAGAAGAGAAGAAAAGACAAAGUGGUAUGGUGGUUCUCCCUUUUUUUAAUAAAAUUACUGCACAAGCAGUUGAAUUAUUGUUUAAUCAUUUUUAAAAUAUACCCCGUAGCCUCGGAAAUAAAAGAGGAAGACAGCCAGUCCUAUAGCUCAGUUGGUUAGAGCGCUACACUGAUAAUGUAGAGGUCGGCAGUUCAACUCUGCCUGGGACUACAAAGCAAGCGGAAAGCGGGAAAGUGGAAAGUUAAUAGCGAAUAGCUAAUAGCUAAUAAUUAAAAACUAAUAGUGAUUAGUGCAUAGCAGAGAGCGAAAAAAUCCAGUAGACCGCAGAGUAAUAAUAAAAGGUAUAAAAUAGUGUGAAAGCAUUUUAUACGACCAACAAACGAUCUUUGACAUAUUGUAACAAGAAGAGAAGUAAGGUAAAGAUACCGGUAAAGAAAGCAUGUGAAUUGAUUCACGAUUUACCCGGUACGAUAUUAAUACGAUAAAAUAAAAAAAGCAAAUAAGAGCGAACGGUGGAUGCCUAGGCUCUGGGAGGCGAUGAAGGACGUGAUAAGCUGCGAAAAGCUACGGGUAGGUGCAAAUAACCGAUC